UGAAGCCGGAAUUGCUAGUAAUGGCAGGUCAGCAUACUGCCGUGAAUACGUUCCCGGGCCUUGUACACACCGCCCGUCACACCAUGAGAGUUGGGAAUACCCGAAGCCUGUGAGCUAACAUUUAUGAGGCAGCAGUCGAAGGUAGAAUCAAUGAUUGGGGUGAAGUCGUAACAAGGUAUC
Molecule: ribosomal RNA, 180 nt
Filed under: uncultured bacterium
Lineage: Bacteria
Description: partial 16S ribosomal RNA
Rfam family: Bacterial small subunit ribosomal RNA
Source: RNAcentral